RNAcentral lists this ribosomal RNA (253 nucleotides) under uncultured bacterium. RNAcentral describes it as "partial 16S ribosomal RNA". It matches the Rfam family "Bacterial small subunit ribosomal RNA", at positions 524 to 776 of the family's 1533-position model. The record is from RNAcentral.
UACGUAGGGAGCAAGCGUUGUCCGGAAUCAUUGGGCGUAAAGCGCGCGUAGGUGGCCCUGUAAGUCCGUUGUGAAAGUCAAAGGCUCAACCUUUGAAAGCCGAUGGAUACUGCAGGGCUAGAGUCCGGAAGAGGCGAGUGGAAUUCCUGGUGUAGCGGUGGAAUGCGCAGAUAUCAGGAGGAACACCAAUAGCGAAGGCAGCUCGCUGGGACGGUACUGACGCUAAGGCGCGAAAGCGUGGGGAGCAAACAGG